AUGUCUUUAUGAUGAUUCUGUUAUCGCCCCAGUCAGAAUAAAGUUGUUGAUUGAUUUUUCUGAUAAUAU
Pieris rapae (cabbage white) is the source of this 69-nucleotide small nucleolar RNA. Lineage: Eukaryota; Metazoa; Arthropoda; Insecta; Lepidoptera; Pieridae. The record is from RefSeq and is a predicted model, not a curated record.